AUGAACGUGCUCUCUCUCGCUCUCCUGAAUCCAUGCGAUCCGACCGGCAGAACAAGAAGUCUAGCCUUGCUUUGCUGCCUUUGCUCGUCCCUGGGGUGUCCGUGCUCGGCUCGGCUCUCCCAGCUGCUCGGAGCUGGCUCCAGCGCCCUGGCUUUGAGCAUGCAGAGUGCAAGGAACAGGCAAGGCCAGAAGAGACAGGAUGGCUCGCUCUGUCCUCCGCUCCGCAGGCCUCAGGUGGACUUGUUUCCUACUGAUCCCUUUGAGCCUGCCUUGCCCAGGACUGUGUGCCUUUAUCCUACUGGCCAAAGCUGCUCCAUAGAGCGGGUGAAAAGGCUUCCUUGGGGAUCGGUGUCCCUCCUUUCUCCCAGACUACGAUGACUGACCGCCUGCUGCUCUCCCUUCCCAGGAGGGCGCCUUCUGGGACUAGCACCCAUCCGGCUCUCGGAUUUGGCAGUAGUGAGCGGAGAUUCUUUUAGGGUCCCGGAAAAGAUCCAGAAAUGUGGCCGCGUGGGUAGAGCUGUCCCUCUGCAAGUCAGCUGGCGGCUUGGGCUUGGCUUUUCUCAUCUUCAGGCCAGCUCAAUCCGCCGAGCCUUUGGCUCCCGGCCUUCGUCUGCCCGGGGAGCAGGAAAGUUGGAGACGGAACAUACCGUCAGCUCCAUCAGGCAUAACAGAAGGCAACAAGCAAUUCUGGAGCCGAGCCUCAGCCAAACCGUCUGACUCUCCCCCACCUACACUUACACUCCCUUGGCAAGACUCUCCAUCCAAAGGCGCCACCUGUCUUGCUCCAGAACCGCUCUCUUUGCUUUACAGACAAGAGAGAUCUCUGUGCCUCGGGACAACUUUUAACCAGGCGUUGGGCCUUGAGUGUUCGUUUGUGAGAUGAAAACAGCCCGGGUGGAGGCUCUGGAAGGCCCUUUCUCAACCCUGGCAUUGCGUGGUUCUCCCUGGCGGGGCUCUGGACAAAGCACAACGCUCAUUCGUGCUAAAAACCCCAGAAAGCGUAGGAAUAAGACGGUACGUCGUGUUCAUUAAAACCAGCAGCAAGUAUCCGAUCUGCAAUGGGGACAAGUUAGAAGCCUUCCCACUAAGAUCAGGAGAGAAGCAAGGAUGGAAGAUGGUAUUAGAAAUGCUAAUGGUAGCAAUUAGAGAAGAAAAAGAAAUGGAAGGGGAUUCAGCAGGCCAGGAGGACACAGAACUCUCACUCUUGGCAGAUGACAUGUUGGUGUCACUAAAAGACCCACUAAAAAACUUCGUUGAAAUAAUAGCUUUAGCAAAGUUGAAGGAUGCAAAAUAAACCCACAAAAAUCAUCA
This 1311-nucleotide long non-coding RNA is filed under the name Monodelphis domestica (gray short-tailed opossum). RNAcentral describes it as "lncRNA (ENSMODG00000049819.1)". Lineage: Eukaryota; Metazoa; Chordata; Mammalia; Didelphimorphia; Didelphidae. The record is from RNAcentral.